AUGGCGACCGGCGCACGGGUGAGUAACACGUAUCCAACCUGCCGAUGACUCGGGGAUAGCCUUUCGAAAGAAAGAUUAAUACCCGAUGGCAUAGUUCUUCCGCAUGGUAGAACUAUUAAAGAAUUUCGGUCAUCGAUGGGGAUGCGUUCCAUUAGGUUGUUGGCGGGGUAGCGGCCCACCAAGCCUUCGAUGGAUAGGGGUUCUGAGAGGAAGGUCCCCCACAUUGGAACUGAGACACGGUCCAAACUCCUACGGGAGGCAGCAUG
This 266-nucleotide ribosomal RNA is filed under the name uncultured bacterium. RNAcentral describes it as "partial 16S ribosomal RNA". It matches the Rfam family "Bacterial small subunit ribosomal RNA", at positions 88 to 353 of the family's 1533-position model. The record is from RNAcentral.